Molecule: ribosomal RNA, 774 nt
Filed under: uncultured Neocallimastigales
Lineage: Eukaryota; Fungi; Neocallimastigomycota; Neocallimastigomycetes; Neocallimastigales
Description: partial large subunit ribosomal RNA
Rfam family: Eukaryotic large subunit ribosomal RNA
Source: RNAcentral
CGCAUCUGUGCAUGCAGCAUAUCAAUAAGCGGAGGAAAAGAAACUAACAAGGAUUCCCUUAGUAACGGCGAGUGAAGCGGGAAGAGCUCAAAUUUGAAAUCUUCAAGGUUUUACCUUGACGAAUUGUAGUUUAAAGAAGUGUUUUCUGUUGAAGUUUUGGUAAAAGUUCUUUGGAAUAGGACAUCAUAGAGGGUGAGAAUCCCGUAUUUGACCAUUAUUUUCAGCUGUGUGAUACACUUUCAAAGAGUCGGAUUGUUUGGGAAUACAGUCCAAAAUGGGUGGUAAAUUUCAUCUAAAGCUAAAUAUUGGCGAGAGACCGAUAGCGAACAAGUACCGUGAGGGAAAGAUGAAAAGAACUUUGAAAAGAGAGUUAAACAGUACGUGAAAUUGUCAAAAGGGAAGCGUUUGACACCAGUGUUGUUUUUCUGAAAAUCAAUUAAAGAACUGUUUAUGCUAAGCUGUUUAGACUUUAUCAGCUAACUGUUUAGUUUCGAGCUUUUCUUUAAUGCACUUUUCAGUUAACAAGUCAACAUCAAUUUCUUUUGCUGUAAAAAAGCUUGAGGAAGGUGGCUUGAGAUUCGUCUUAAGUGUUUAUAGCCUCUUGCCUACGCAGUCGGAGAGAUUGAGGUCUGCAGCGUAGAUCCUUCGGGGCUAAAUGCAUUUGUGCUAAGUUAUAGCAUUUUAUAGACAACUUGUUGACUAUGAUUUGUCUUGUAGCUUACUCGCUUAUGUUAUUUUACCUACGCUUAGGAUGUUGAUAGUCACAGCGUGUAC